Molecule: ribosomal RNA, 243 nt
Filed under: uncultured bacterium
Lineage: Bacteria
Description: partial 16S ribosomal RNA
Rfam family: Bacterial small subunit ribosomal RNA
Source: RNAcentral
GUCCACGCCGUAAACGAUGUCUACUAGCCGUUGGGACUCUUGAAGUCUUAGUGGCGCAGCUAACGCACUAAGUAGACCGCCUGGGGAGUACGGCCGCAAGGUUAAAACUCAAAUGAAUUGACGGGGGCCCGCACAAGCGGUGGAGCAUGUGGUUUAAUUCGACGCAACGCGAAGAACCUUACCUGGCCUUGACAUGCAGAGAACUUUCCAGAGAUGGAUUGGUGCCUUCGGGAGCUCUGACAC